AACGCACAUUGCGCCCUUUGGUAUUCCGAAGGGCAUGCCUGUUCGAGCGUCAUUAUCAACCCUCAAGCCCGGCUUGGCGUUGGGUCGCGCCGGGGGUAAAACUCCGGUGGACCCCAAAGGUAAUGGCCGAGCCCGUGUGGACCCUGGAUGCAGCGAGCUUUCUGGCACGUGUCGCGGUGGUCCUCCGGCUCGGUCUCGGACAAAAAAGAAAAUUUUCUUCAAAAACUGGUUGACCUCGGAUCAGGUAGGGAUACCCGCUGAACUUAA
This 267-nucleotide unclassified non-coding RNA is filed under the name uncultured fungus. RNAcentral describes it as "sequence contains ITS2". The stretch from base 1 to 52 matches the Rfam family "5.8S ribosomal RNA", at positions 103 to 154 of the family's 154-position model. The record is from RNAcentral. Lineage: Eukaryota; Fungi.